GACGAACGCUGGCGGCGUGCUUAACACAUGCAAGUCGAACGGAAAGGCCCUGCUUUUGUGGGGUGCUCGAGUGGCGAACGGGUGAGUAACACGUGAGUAACCUGCCCUUGACUUUGGGAUAACUUCAGGAAACUGGGGCUAAUACCGGAUAGGAGCUCCUGCUGCAUGGUGGGGGUUGGAAAGUUUCGGCGGUUGGGGAUGGACUCGCGGCUUAUCAGCUUGUUGGUGGGGUAGUGGCUUACCAAGGCUUUGACGGGUAGCCGGCCUGAGAGGGUGACCGGCCACAUGGGGACUGAGAUACGGCCAGACUCCUACGGGAGGCAGCAGUGGGGAAUAUUGCACAAUGGGCGGAAGCCUGAUGCAGCAACGCUGCGUGCGGGAUGACGGCCUUCGGGUUGUAAACCGCUUUCGCCUGUGACGAAGCGUGAGUGACGGUAAUGGGUAAAGAAGCACCGGCUAACUACGUG
RNAcentral lists this ribosomal RNA (467 nucleotides) under uncultured bacterium. Its description in RNAcentral is "partial 16S ribosomal RNA". It matches the Rfam family "Bacterial small subunit ribosomal RNA", at positions 28 to 507 of the family's 1533-position model. The record is from RNAcentral.